This 3353-nucleotide long non-coding RNA is filed under the name Medicago truncatula (barrel medic). Its description in RNAcentral is "long non-coding RNA (MTRU_LNC008843)". Lineage: Eukaryota; Viridiplantae; Streptophyta; Magnoliopsida; Fabales; Fabaceae. The record is from RNAcentral.
GCAUGAAUCCUCUCCUCAAUCCUCAUGCAGUAGAAGGACAAAAACACCCCUACAUAAGAUAAUGCUACCUGGGCCAGGGAAGAACAGGGUAUUGAUGAAAUGGGACCCAACCAAAACCCAUGAGCAACUGAUUGGGACAUAAAGUAUGAGAGGAAAAAACAAGCCAGGAAAAACAAAGAAAGAAUGCAACCUAAUUGAAAUGUCAUAACGUGAGUGGGUUGUUGGAUUACAAUUGGAUGAGUCAUGAAUGAAAAUGUCGAUAAGCCAGCCACCUAUAUUUCCUCGAAACCCCCCCUCCUUUAUUCAAUCUCACACAAUAAUGGUGCACUACGGACAAAAAAUAUUAACAAUUAAAAACAUUUUAUCUUGUAUGCUAAUAGAUUCACGACAAAAUUGGACCAAAAUAUUUUGAGAGUUACUUAGUUAAUUUGCAAUAAUGAUAGGUAAACACUUCACUUUUUAACAAAAUAAAUUGUUAUAAGAACUAGAUUGAUGCCGCACAGGUCGUUUGAGCUGAAAUAUAUUUGUUAAUAGCUGCAAUAUAUUUGCCAAUAAGAUACUUGAAAAGAAAUUUGAUAAUAAUAUAUCGUCAAUUGAUAAUAAUAUAUCAUUAAUUAAAUGCAACACCAAGAAUUAUUGAAGUUUGAUAAUCAUCUACAUGAUGCCGUUAAAAAAAAAAAAGAUAACCACCUGCAUGAUAGUUUUUUACAUUACGCAUUACGACAUAAUACUAAAAGCCCCGGAUACAAAACAACACCAAUGUAAAUACACCAAACAACCAAAACCUUACUCUUCACUCCACAAAUCAAAAACAACUUUGGUACAAUAGAAAACAAAUCAACUCUACAAAUUAAGGAUGCAUUUGUCGCAAUAGAAAAAUUGAAAAGAGAGUUAUGAUAACAUAAUAUAAAAUCAUGAUAAACCACCUAAAUGAUUGUUUUUAAAAGCAUAUUUGAUUGCAAUAGAUUUUUAAUUUUAAUUUGAUGUUAUUGAAUGACAUAUGGCAGUAUGACAAAACAAUGGUUCAUGCUGCAGCCGAUGUUCUGUUCAUUUUUUGGUUUGGAAAUUGAACAAAAAUCAAUUUUAUGUGAUAGACAAUUCUAUCAAAAAAAAUGUGAUAGAUAUUUAAACCAUUGAGCCCUGGGUUGGAUUACAAUUUUCAAAAUUGGAGUCACACAAUCAUGGAUAAUUUGAAAUUCAAAAUGCAAAGAAUUUAAAAUGUUAAUGUAUCACGGUUAACAACAUACUUUAGUUAAUGCCACCGAAUUAAUAAGGUUUGAUUCCAAAAAAAAAAAAUCGAAAUUCAAAUUGGCAAGAAUUUGGGAGGGAAACAUAUUAGGGUUAACAUGCUUAGGAGUUAAUGCAACACAAUUAGAGGAAAAUUAUUAGGUUUAGGUGUUGCUUAACCUAAUAACUUUUAAGAAUAAGGGAUAAUGACAUGUGAACAUAUCCAAUUCUCAUUAUAUCAUUAACAAAUCAUAUCUAUUAUACAAUUUACUCAUUUUCUUUUUCUAAGGAUAAUUCACUCUUUUUAUUUCUCUCUAAAAGUGUCAAUCAAGUUUUGAGUGUCUAUCACAUAUUUUCCUUUAAUAAAGAUCAACCAGCACACAAUCAAAGUCACAACUAACAAGGAUUCAAUUUCUACCAUUGAAGUGAAUUUAGAACUUUUCAUAUAAAAAGUUUCUUAAAAUCACUCUAGCUUUUCCGUAUUAAAGUCACUAAAUAUCGAUCUUAUAUAUAAAACUAAAAUAGAUUGAUGGGGUGUGCCUAUUUAACCCAUUAAGAUUAAGAUGUAGGUUUUCACUUUAUUUAUACAAGUGUUUUUUAGGUGAUUAUACAACUGUUAUUUAUGUAAAGUGACUAAGAAUUAAUUUAAUUUAUAUCAACAAAUCUCAUUUGUAAAGCCGCCAGCAUUAUUGAGCUAUUGAAUAAAAAAGCCACUUAAAUAGUUCUGAUUUCUCCUAUAAAUACCUCAUUACUCUUAUCAACUCAUAUCAUAUCACAAGUUUCUUGCAACUUUAUAAGCGAAAAAAGAAAAGACUCAAAGAAUAUAAGACAAAAGCAAAGAUGAGUUAUUUGAACCGUGUUUGGAUGGCAGCAACAGUGGCGGUGGCACAAGGCCACACUGAUCCAAUCUAUAAGUGCAAAACAGCUCUUGGAACUAUUCACCAAAACCGAACUCGUCUCUUCUCUGCGGGCGGUGCUUUGUCGGCACUCUUGCCACUGUCCAGCGUCGUUGUAUCGGACGCAACCGUGAGUUCUAAGGUUGAAGAGAAGCUGAGACAAACCGAUGAUUCUCUCCAGAAAGUUAUGUACAUGAAUUGUUGGGGUCAAGGCUAAAGAAUAAUACCUAGACACUGAUAGCUUUGAUUAGAAGUGUUGGUCCUGCUUGUUGGAAACUAUUGGUGACAACGAGGCAAAAUUGAUUCAUCGGUGCAGAAUCAACCCUAUGUUUGAGUGAGGAUUGGAAAAGAGCAACAAUGGAAUUCUCGUGCUUAAAUUGAUAAGUCUAUCAGAACAAGAUCUUCUUCAUUCAACUAUGCAUGCAUGAGACUAAAGGGAAAUUUGUUCCAAUUGCAAAUUUUUCUUUUAGCAACCUGAAAACGAGUGUGCAAAGCCCGAGGUAACACAGAGAACUGCGGAUUUAGUGUCUGUAUUACCAAAACCGCGGAUAUUUAGGUUUGCUUCAAUCAAGAGUAAUGUUAUGAUCCAAUUAUCCAUAAUAAUAGCCCAAGGAAUAAUACAUUAAUGGCAAAAUUGGAUUUUGUUGAGCUGUUGAGGAAAAUAGAUAUUAAGGGAGCACAGAGAAGCAAGAGAGAAAUUUUCGAACUGAAAAUAAAUUUGUCGAUUAUGCAUAAUUAGGGCAAUGAUUCCCAAUAUUGGAGUGCAAAAAUGUAUAAUUGGAGCAAUGACCAUCGAUGAUUGGUGUGCAAAAUAUUUAUAAAUUUUUUUACUUUUAUUGGUAAUCUCUAGAUAAUCUCCAGCUAGCAGAGUAAUAGCCUCAAAAUCCUUGUACUUAAUUAGGGUUUCCUUUAAUUUCCUUGGUACUAUUUUUUGUUUUCCAUGAGUUGAUACUAUGUACUAUAAGUUUAAGUUGUACUAUUUCAAUUUUAGAGAGGUGCUAAAAACACUAUUCUCAACCCUUACUCUACCACUCUGGUUGAAAUUUCGAAAAGAGCUCCUAAUACGCCUCUUAAUACCUAAAUCAAUAUACGUACAGAUUUCAUAGAUCAUUUCAUGUGGUAACUAUUUAAUUAUACCUUGGAUAAUUCCUAAUAGCAUCUUAUGUUUAUUGGAUUAUCGUGACUUUGAUUAUAUAUUAAUUAAUUAAUUAAUAUAUAAAAGUGUUAGAC